Molecule: ribosomal RNA, 1016 nt
Filed under: uncultured bacterium
Lineage: Bacteria
Description: bacterial SSU rRNA
Rfam family: Bacterial small subunit ribosomal RNA
Source: RNAcentral
UGAGGAAUAUUGGUCAAUGGACGAGAGUCUGAACCAGCCAAGUAGCGUGAAGGAUGACUGCCCUAUGGGUUGUAAACUUCUUUUAUACGGGAAUAAAGUGAGGCACGUGUGCCUUUUUGUAUGUACCGUAUGAAUAAGGAUCGGCUAACUCCGUGCCAGCAGCCGCGGUAAUACGGAGGAUCCGAGCGUUAUCCGGAUUUAUUGGGUUUAAAGGGAGCGUAGGCGGACGCUUAAGUCAGUUGUGAAAGUUUGCGGCUCAACCGUAAAAUUGCAGUUGAUACUGGGUGUCUUGAGUACAGUAGAGGCAGGCGGAAUUCGUGGUGUAGCGGUGAAAUGCUUAGAUAUCACGAAGAACUCCGAUUGCGAAGGCAGCUUGCUGGACUGUAACUGACGCUGAUGCUCGAAAGUGUGGGUAUCAAACAGGAUUAGAUACCCUGGUAGUCCACACAGUAAACGAUGAAUACUCGCUGUUUGCGAUAUACAGUAAGCGGCCAAGCGAAAGCGUUAAGUAUUCCACCUGGGGAGUACGCCGGCAACGGUGAAACUCAAAGGAAUUGACGGGGGCCCGCACAAGCGGAGGAACAUGUGGUUUAAUUCGAUGAUACGCGAGGAACCUUACCCGGGCUUGAAUUGCAACUGAAUGAUGUGGAGACAUGUCAGCCGCAAGGCAGUUGUGAAGGUGCUGCAUGGUUGUCGUCAGCUCGUGCCGUGAGGUGUCGGCUUAAGUGCCAUAACGAGCGCAACCCUUAUCGAUAGUUACCAUCAGGUUAUGCUGGGGACUCUGUCGAGACUGCCGUCGUAAGAUGUGAGGAAGGUGGGGAUGACGUCAAAUCAGCACGGCCCUUACGUCCGGGGCUACACACGUGUUACAAUGGGGGGUACAGAAGGCAGCUACACGGCGACGUGAUGCUAAUCCCUAAAGCCUCUCUCAGUUCGGAUUGGAGUCUGCAACCCGACUCCAUGAAGCUGGAUUCGCUAGUAAUCGCGAAUCAGCAUGUCGCGGUGAAUACGUUCCC